GACUAACGCUGGCAGUGUGCCUUACACAUGCAAGUCGGACGGGGGACUUCGGUCCCUAGUGGCAAACGGGUGAGUAAUGGAUAGGUGAUCUACCGGGAAGAUGGGGGAUACCCCCUCGAAAGAGGGAUCAAUACCCAGUACGCUCCGCAAGGAGGAAAGGUGGUGCAAGCCACCGCUUUUCGACGAGCCUAUCUCCUAUCAGCUAGUUGGUGAGGUAAUGGCUCACCAAGGCUAUGACGGGUAGCUGGUCUGAGAGGAUGAUCAGCCACACUGGAACUGAGACACGGUCCAGACACCUACGGGAGGCAG
RNAcentral lists this ribosomal RNA (309 nucleotides) under uncultured Caldisericota bacterium. RNAcentral's name for it is "bacterial SSU rRNA". It matches the Rfam family "Bacterial small subunit ribosomal RNA", at positions 28 to 351 of the family's 1533-position model. The record is from RNAcentral. Lineage: Bacteria; Pseudomonadati; Caldisericota.